This 460-nucleotide ribosomal RNA is filed under the name uncultured bacterium. Its description in RNAcentral is "partial 16S ribosomal RNA". It matches the Rfam family "Bacterial small subunit ribosomal RNA", at positions 338 to 795 of the family's 1533-position model. The record is from RNAcentral.
CCUACGGGAGGCAGCAGUGAGGAAUAUUGGUCAAUGGGCGCGAGCCUGAACCAGCCAAGUAGCGUGAAGGAUGACUGCCCUACGGGUUGUAAACUUCUUUUAUAAAGGAAUAAAGUGAGGCACGUGUGCCUUAUUGUAUGUACUUUAAGAAUAAGGAUCGGCUAACUCCGUGCCAGCAGCCGCGGUAAUACGGAGGAUGCGAGCGUUAUCCGGAUUUAUUGGGUUUAAAGGGAGCGUAGAUGGGUUGUUAAGUCAGUUGUGAAAGUUUGCGGCUCAACCGUAAAAUUGCAAUUGAUACUGGCAGUCUUGAGUACAGUUGAGGUAGGCGGAAUUCGUGGUGUAGCGGUGAAAUGCUUAGAUAUCACGAAGAACUCCGAUUGCGAAGGCAGCUUACUAGACUGCCACUGACAUUGAUGCUCGAAAGUGUGGGUAUCAAACAGGAUUAGAUACCCCAGUAGUC